CAACCCUCAAGCCCCAGCGGCCUGGUGUUGGGGACCGGCGAGCGAAGCCCCUCCGGGGGGUUCACGCCGCCCCCGAAAUGAAUUGGCGGUCUCGUCGCGGCCUCCUCUGCGUAGUAGCACAACCUCGCAACAGGAGCGCGGCGCGGCCACUGCCGUAAAACGCCCAAACUUUUUUUUAG
RNAcentral lists this unclassified non-coding RNA (179 nucleotides) under Pochonia globispora. RNAcentral's name for it is "partial internal transcribed spacer 2". Lineage: Eukaryota; Fungi; Ascomycota; Sordariomycetes; Hypocreales; Clavicipitaceae. The record is from RNAcentral.